Molecule: ribosomal RNA, 497 nt
Filed under: uncultured bacterium
Lineage: Bacteria
Description: partial 16S ribosomal RNA
Rfam family: Bacterial small subunit ribosomal RNA
Source: RNAcentral
GAUGAACGCUGGCGGCGUGCCUAACACAUGCAAGUCGAGCGUGAUUUAUGAGGACGAAACUUCGGUCUAGGAAUCAUAAUGAAAGCGGCGGACGGGUGAGUAACGCGUAGGCAACCUGCCCUUGACACAGGGAUAGCCUCGGGAAACCGGGAUUAAAACCUGAUGACGCCAAACAGUCACAUGGCUGUUUGGCCAAAGAUUUAUCGGUCAAGGAUGGGCCUGCGUCUGAUUAGUUAGUUGGUGGGGUAACGGCCUACCAAGACGACGAUCAGUAGCCGACCUGAGAGGGUGAUCGGCCACAUUGGAACGGAGACACGGUCCAAACUCCUACGGGAGGCAGCAGUGGGGAAUAUUGCACAAUGGGCGAAAGCCUGAUGUAGCAACGCCGCGUGAGCGAUGAAGGCCUUUGGGUCGUAAAGCUCUGUCCUCGGGGAAGAAACAAAUGACGGUACCCAAGGAGGAAGCCCCGGCUAACUACGUGCCAGCAGCCGCCGCAG